Molecule: transfer RNA, 75 nt
Filed under: Polycladospora coralii
Lineage: Bacteria; Bacillati; Bacillota; Bacilli; Caryophanales; Thermoactinomycetaceae
Description: tRNA-Gln
Rfam family: tRNA
About the family: Transfer RNA (tRNA) molecules are approximately 80 nucleotides in length. Their secondary structure includes four short double-helical elements and three loops (D, anti-codon, and T loops).
Source: RNAcentral
UGGGGUGUAGCCAAGCGGUAAGGCAACGGACUUUGACUCCGUCAUGCGUAGGUUCGAACCCUACCACCCCAGCCA